CGUGCCUGCCAGAGCGACGGGAGGGGCAGCAUCCGCAUGGAGCAUGCGCCGUGCGUAGCGGUGGAGGCGCUUCCUCCGGGAGGCCGGUCGGGUGAGCAUGCGCAGUGCCUGCCCGCGGGGCGCGAGGCCGAGGCUGGAAGCACCCCAGGUGGCGUGGACUCACGCGGCUCUUCAACCGAAUACCUGAAAUUCAUGAUAAAAAAAUGGAUGAAGGCCUGGUGUUCACGUCGUGGCUGAUGAACGCUGUCCGGGUCUUGUUCUCCGGUUCGUUUACCGCGACAGAGUUUCACUCUCGUUACCCAGGCUGGAGUGCAGUGGUGCGAUCUCGG
Chlorocebus sabaeus (green monkey) is the source of this 329-nucleotide long non-coding RNA. RefSeq lists it as uncharacterized. The record is from RefSeq and is a predicted model, not a curated record. NCBI's taxonomy places the organism in Eukaryota, Metazoa, Chordata, Mammalia, Primates, Cercopithecidae.